RNAcentral lists this long non-coding RNA (735 nucleotides) under Vulpes vulpes (red fox). Its description in RNAcentral is "lncRNA (ENSVVUG00000014524.1)". Lineage: Eukaryota; Metazoa; Chordata; Mammalia; Carnivora; Canidae. The record is from RNAcentral.
GCCUGGGGCUGGCGAGCUCCCCCGCCGCGCCGGGGCUUGGCGCUCCCCGGGGGCCGCCACCUGUCCGGCCCGGGCGCGGGGCGGCCGCUUCGCCCCCAGCUCUCGGAGGCGGCAGCGACAGGCAGGGGCAGGCACACGUGCGCCCGGCGGGCAGGCUCAGGCUUCUGCGGAGACGCGCCCGGCCAGCGCACCCCCCGAGCGCACUCGUGCGCGCGCGCACAGAAGCCCACGGGCGCAAAGUCACCCCUGCCCGGCGCGCACAGGAGCGCCCAGGCACAGAGCCAAGUAAGCAGGACGCUCAGCGCUCACGUGGAGGCAGGCAGAGAGCCACAGACUCGGACGUCCCCCUCCAGUGUUGCUCUCGGAUUUCUAGAAUGUACUGUUAUGGCCACAGAGUUCUUCCUCAUGACUACCCUUCUCUGGUGAAGAAGCUGAAAUACAAUUUAACCAAACGAAUGUUGGAGCUCAACAGGGGAUCUAUAGAAAUCAGAAAACUUCACUUCAACUACCACCACCAUAUCCCAUCAAGACACUCUAAAACCAACCAGAUGGCUUCCCUGAGCCUCAGUUUCCUCAUCUGUGAAGUGGAGAAGUAGCAACACCUUUCCUACAGACCUAGGAUGGAGGGAGAAAAUAGAUGGGAAACAGUGAAAUGCUAGAUUACGUAUAAGAGUAAUUAUAAACAAGAAGAAAAAUGUCAAUAAAAAUUAUAUUUUAAAUUUGUCUUCUUUUUAA